GACGAACGCUGGCGGCGUGCCUAAUACAUGCAAGUAGAACACAGUUGCGAACGGGUGAGUAACUCGUAGGUAACUGCCUCAUAGCGGGGGAUAACUAUUGGAAACGAUAGCUAUUACCCCAUAUUGUGAUAUGGACCUGCGUUGUAUUAGCUAGUUGGUGAGGUAAAGGCUCACCAAGGCGCAGAUACAUAGCCGAGCUGAGAGGGUGAUAGGCCAAACUGGGCAGGAGACACGGCCCAGACUCCUAGGGGAGGCAGGAGUAGGUAAUUUUCGGCAAGUGACGGAAGUCUGAUCGAGCAACGGCGCGUGAGUGAAGAAGGUUUUCGGAUCGUAAAGCUCUGUUGUGAGAGAAGCGUUAACUAACCAGAAAGGGAUGGCUAACUACGUGCCAGCAGCCGCGGUAAUUC
RNAcentral lists this ribosomal RNA (407 nucleotides) under uncultured bacterium. Its description in RNAcentral is "partial 16S ribosomal RNA". It matches the Rfam family "Bacterial small subunit ribosomal RNA", at positions 28 to 526 of the family's 1533-position model. The record is from RNAcentral.